This is a long non-coding RNA of Oncorhynchus kisutch (coho salmon), 781 nucleotides long. RefSeq lists it as uncharacterized. The transcript has 3 exons. The record is from RefSeq and is a predicted model, not a curated record. NCBI's taxonomy places the organism in Eukaryota, Metazoa, Chordata, Actinopteri, Salmoniformes, Salmonidae.
CUUUGGCUUUGUGCUAUUGAGCAAGAGGCCUGACCCAUUUCUAUGUAAGAAGCCACACUUUUUAUAUUCAGCUUCUGAAUGAACUAACUCAUAAAUAUGUUUUUAAGUCAGCUUAACGUAUAUACUAGUACAACAUACUAGGUACAUACACUUCAAUCAUUAGAAUAAUUUGCAUAAUGUAGUUCAGAUAGAGCACGAUCAGCAGGGCGGGCGAUAGAGUACACAACUGUAUCGGGAGAUAUCCUGUAUGCAACACCUUGUAUAUUUGGUUUAGAGAACAAUGGCUGUGAAUUCAAACAACAGGAGGGGAUGUCGAGACAUUCUGUCUACAACCGGGGUGGGGUGCACCGGGCUCUGCUUAGAGAUAUCAAUGUUUAACCCCGGGUGGUCGGCAGAUAUCUCGACAUGCCUUAUGCAUGAUAGUGCACACCUUGGUUUCAAACGAUUCUCUACAGAUAGAAUGGGGCUACAUGCUUGGGCCCCUGUUGAACACACACACACACCCUUUGUUUUUGAAACGCACACACACACACUCCUGCUGCUCCGUCACACGCACACUCAUGCACGCACCCUGAUUUUCCAUGUCUUUUUCUUCGUGACAGACCGGGCUGAUGUCUGGAAAGGACAUUUUCCUAUCGUUAAAGGAUAAAGGGGCUGGUUAGCCCCGACCAUUAUCCGUUUCCAAUUCACCAACUCAAAGACGCUUGCCCGCUCCAUCAUAACUCCGUCAUUUUGCAGGGCUUUGGCAGUGCUCGUUCCUGCUCCUCCUUGCACAAAGGCG